CGCGGCCUAUCAGCUUGUUGGUGGGGUAACGGCCCACCAAGGCAUCGACGGGUAGCUGGUCUGAGAGGACGAUCAGCCACACUGGGACUGAGACACGGCCCAGACUCCUACGGGAGGCAGCAGUGGGGAAUAUUGCGCAAUGGGCGAAAGCCUGACGCAGCAACGCCGCGUGGGGGAUGAAGGCCUUCGGGUUGUAAACCCCUUUCAGCAGGGACGAAAAUGACGGUACCUGCAGAAGAAGCCCCGGCCGACUACGUGCCAGCAGCCGCGGUAACACGUAGGGGGCAAGCGUUGUCCGGAUUUAUUGGGCGUAAAGAGCUCGUAGGCGGUUGCGUAAGUCGGAUGUGAAAACUCAGGGCUCAACCCGGAGACGCCAUCCGAUACUGCGCUGACUAGAGUCCGGUAGAGGAGCAUGGAAUUCCUGGUGUAGCGGUGAAAUGCGCAGAUAUCAGGAGGAACACCAGUGGCGAAGGCGGUGCUCUGGGCCGGUACUGACGCUGAGGAGCGAAAGCGUGGGUAGCGAACAGGAUUAGAUACCCUGGUAGUCCACGCCGUAAACGUUGGGCACUAGGUGUGGGGCCUCCUUAACGGGUUCCGUGCCGUAGCUGACGCAUUAAGUGCCCCGCCUGGGGAGUACGG
This 639-nucleotide ribosomal RNA is filed under the name uncultured bacterium. RNAcentral describes it as "bacterial SSU rRNA". It matches the Rfam family "Bacterial small subunit ribosomal RNA", at positions 232 to 885 of the family's 1533-position model. The record is from RNAcentral.